GUUGGUGAACCAGCGGAGGGAUCAUUACUGAGUGCUACAACUCUCCAAACCAUGUGAACAUUACCUCUCGUUGCCUCGGCGGACGCGGCUCCCCCUCCGCGGGGAAACCGUCCGCCAGAGGACCCAAAACUCUGUUGCAUUAUAUGGCAUUAUCUGAGUGGCGUAAGCAAAUCAAAUCAAAACUUUCAACAACGGAUCUCUUGGUUCUGGCAUCGAUGAAGAACGCAGCGAAAUGCGAUACGUAAUGUGAAUUGCAGAAUUCAGUGAAUCAUCGAAUCUUUGAACGCACAUUGCGCCCGCCGGUAUUCCGGCGGGCAUGCCUGUUCGAGCGUCAUUUCAACCCUCAAGCCCCCGGCUUGGUGUUGGGGAUCGGCCCCGCCCCGCGCGGCGGCCGGCCCCGAAAGAUAGUGGCGGUCACGCCGUUCGCGUCCCCUGCGUAGUAGCAACACCUCGCACCGGAACGCGGCAUGGCCACGCCGUAAAAGCUGCCCUCCUCGGGCGGCACUUCUUCUCAAAGGUUGACCUCGGAUCAGGUAGGAAUACCCGCUGAACUUAA
Molecule: ribosomal RNA, 556 nt
Filed under: uncultured Hypocreales
Lineage: Eukaryota; Fungi; Ascomycota; Sordariomycetes; Hypocreales
Description: eukaryotic LSU rRNA
Rfam family: 5.8S ribosomal RNA (bases 181-334)
Source: RNAcentral